This 550-nucleotide ribosomal RNA is filed under the name Funneliformis mosseae. Its description in RNAcentral is "SSU rRNA". It matches the Rfam family "Eukaryotic small subunit ribosomal RNA", at positions 548 to 1098 of the family's 1831-position model. RNAcentral also lists the same sequence under 1 other name. The record is from RNAcentral. Lineage: Eukaryota; Fungi; Glomeromycota; Glomeromycetes; Glomerales; Glomeraceae.
UUGGAGGGCAAGUCUGGUGCCAGCAGCCGCGGUAAUUCCAGCUCCAAUAGCGUAUAUUAAAGUUGUUGCAGUUAAAAAGCUCGUAGUUGAAUUUCGGGAUCAAUAUUUCGGUCAUGCCGUUGGUAUGCACUGUUAUCAUUGAUUUCUCACCUUCUAAAGAACCGUGAUGCCAUUAAUUUGGUGUUACGGGGAAUUAGGACUGUUACCUUGAAAAAAUUAGAGUGUUUAAAGCAGGCUCACGCUUGAAUACAUUAGCAUGGAAUAAUGGAAUAGGACAUCCGAUUCUAUUUUGUUGGUUUCUAGGAUCGAUGUAAUGAUUAAUAGGGAUAGUUGGGGGCAUUAGUAUUCAAUUGUCAGAGGUGAAAUUCUUGGAUUUAUUGAAGACUAACUACUGCGAAAGCAUUUGCCAAGGAUGUUUUCAUUAAUCAAGAACGAAAGUUAGGGGAUCGAAGACGAUCAGAUACCGUCGUAGUCUUAACCAUAAACUAUGCCGACUAGGGAUCGGAUGAUGUUAAUUUUUUAAUGACUCAUUCGGCGCCUUACGGGAAAC